GAUGAACGCUGGCGGCGUGCCUAAUACAUGCAAGUCGAGCGAACAGAUGAGGAGCUUGCUCCUCUGACGCUAGCGGCGGACGGGUGAGUAACACGUGGAUAACCUACCUAUAAGACUGGGAUAACUUCGGGAAACCGGAGCUAAUACCGGAUAAUAUAUUGAACCGCAUGGUUCAAUAGUGAAAGACGGUUUUGCUGUCACUUAUAGAUGGAUCCGCGCCGCAUUAGCUAGUUGGUAAGGUAACGGCUUACCAAGGCAACGAUGCGUAGCCGACCUGAGAGGGUGAUCGGCCACACUGGAACUGAGACACGGUCCAGACUCCUACGGGAGGCAGCAGUAGGGAAUCUUCCGCAAAGGGCGAAAGCCUGACGGAGCAACGCCGCGUGAGUGAUGAAGGUCUUCGGAUCGUAAAACUCUGUUAUUAGGGAAGAACAAAUGUGUAAGUAACUAUGCACGUCUUGACGGUACCUAAUCAGAAAGCCACGGCUAACUACGUG
RNAcentral lists this ribosomal RNA (497 nucleotides) under uncultured bacterium. RNAcentral describes it as "partial 16S ribosomal RNA". It matches the Rfam family "Bacterial small subunit ribosomal RNA", at positions 28 to 507 of the family's 1533-position model. The record is from RNAcentral.